UCCGGGUUGUCCCCGGCAGUCCCCCCAGAGUUCCCAUCUUACUGCUGGCUACUGGGGGUAAGGGUUGCGCUCGUUGCGGGACUUAACCCAACAUCUCACGACACGAGCUGACGACAACCAUGCACCACCUGUCUCCAAUGUCCCCGAAGGGCCUGCCCGCAUUGCCGGGCAUUCAUUGGGAUGUCAAGCCUGGGUAAGGUUCUUCGCGUUGCGUCGAAUUAAACCACAUGCUCCACCGCUUGUGCGGGUCCCCGUCAAUUCCUUUGAGUUUCAUUCUUGCGAACGUACUCCCCAGGUGGAUUACUUAUUGCGUUUGCGCCGGCACCGGGGGCACAUUGCCCCCGACACCUGGUAAUCAUCGUUUACCGCGUGGACUAC
RNAcentral lists this unclassified non-coding RNA (378 nucleotides) under uncultured Lachnospiraceae bacterium. RNAcentral's name for it is "contains 16S-23S intergenic spacer region". The record is from RNAcentral. Lineage: Bacteria; Bacillati; Bacillota; Clostridia; Lachnospirales; Lachnospiraceae.